AACUACCGUGGCAGGGAAUGGCCGCGGGAUGACGUGAAUCCCGGAAUAAGCCCCGGCUAACUACGUGCCAGCAGCCGCGGUAACACGUAGGGGGCGAGCGUUGUUCGGAAUCAUUGGGCGUAAAGGGCGUGCAGGCGGUCCUGCAAGUCCGGCGUGAAAGACCCCGGCCCAACCGGGGGGGCGCGCUGGAAACUGCAGGGCUUGAGUACAGGAGGGGAUGCCGGAAUUCCAGGUGUAGGGGUGAAAUCUGUAGAUAUCUGGAGGAACACCAAUGGCGAAGGCAGGCAUCUGGCCAUGUACUGACGCUGAGACGCGAAGGUGCGGGGAGCAAACAGGUUUAGAUACCCUGGUAGUCCGCACAGUAAACGAUGUGCACCAGGUGGCGGGGGGUCGACCCCCGGUACCGUAGCCAACGCAUUAAGUGCACCGCCUGGGGAGUAUGCUCGCAAGGGUGAAACUCAAAUGAAUUGACGG
Molecule: ribosomal RNA, 474 nt
Filed under: uncultured bacterium
Lineage: Bacteria
Description: bacterial SSU rRNA
Rfam family: Bacterial small subunit ribosomal RNA
Source: RNAcentral